Molecule: long non-coding RNA, 1930 nt
Organism: Sus scrofa (pig)
Lineage: Eukaryota; Metazoa; Chordata; Mammalia; Artiodactyla; Suidae
Source: RefSeq, a predicted model, not a curated record
CAGGGACGAGUGGGCAAGGGUCGGGGUCGGGGGGCGAAAGCAUAGUAUGAGGCAAAGGGUAAAAAAGGGGAGCCGCACAAUCUCUGGAAACAACAGAAAAUCCUGAAUUUGCGUGUGGGGAGGGGGAGGGGAGUAGAAAGUGAUAAGAACGAAGACAGUAAAUUGGGGUAAAUCUAAAUGGCCCUCCUUGCUGGGGUGCUCCCUGGGGAGCCUGAAAACUCAAAGGAGAGGUGGGUUAAGGACCCACCGGCCAAGGCCGAAAGCGCAGCGGCGCCGGCCCUGCCGCCCCCGUGGGCCGCUCACUACUCCGCUCGCUCUCACUCCACUCGCUCUCUUUUUUGGAUUUCGUCAUCUUUUCAAAAAAUCAAUAAAAAUAUUCUGGAGGCUCCAGGGGUCUCGUUCUUGGCCCCAUCCGGACCCCCAGACCCUGCUCUAUCAUUCCCGACAAUUGAAAAAAUUGUCGGGGAGGGUCCGCGCGGCCCAGGCGCCGCAUUUGGGGGGUGGGUGGGGAGAGGUGGGGAAGCGAGGGGGAGGGCGGAGGGAGCGAGCGCCGCGCAGCCUGGGCGGCCGGGAGUCGGAGCAGGGGAGCCGGGUUCAAAAAAUAAUUAAAAAUCGAGAAAAUAUCCCAGACAAGCCCUUUCGGCGUGAAAACCCCAGAGAGGACCCAGGCUUCCCGCAGCGGAGAUUUCGGGUGCCGGGAAGGUCUGGACUGCGACCCCUGGGGCUUUGGAUCCCGAGGGGAAACUUGCAGGGAUCUCCGCACCCAGGAAACUGAAGGCCAAACCGCGAUAGAUGCUAAAACCAUCUCAUAUGAAGACUGAUGUUGAAAAUGCAUCUUCCAAAAGAUGCCCAGGCAACCACAUAGACUGGACUUUAUCACACCCCCUUCUGUCUACAUCUGGGUGGUAAGACCUGGAGCCCAGCAGUGACCUCAAGCCAGAAGAAGCCUCUCACCAAGAUCACUAGGAAGGUGACAUUUGUUUCUCCGUGCUUGCUGAGCUGGGAAAGUGGAUGCCUGGCUUUGAGAGUUUUGUUUUGUUUUGUUUUUUUGUAAUGAGAAUUGAAACAUAAAGGAUUCUUUUCACAUCAUCAUGCAGCUCACAGAAAUAGAGCUUGGAAGAACUUCUCCAAAGUCUUUAGGCUUUGGUCCAUUGACCUUUUACUGUAACAAGCACAUCAGAAACCACAAAUAAAUUGGGGAAGAGGGUACACACUUCACCAAAAGAUUUGUGCUUGGCUAGACAGUCUCCCACAGUGCUUUUUCAAAUUGAGAGAAUUUCUGAUACAUUUGAAAUGGCAGCAUUCACUUGAAAGUGAGAUUUGUCUAUUCCAUUUAGAAAAAUCUGGUGAUGUGGACUUCGUUUUUUGAAAUCCUCGAAAGUCACAUCAUGUUAAAGCUGAAAGGGGCAGUGGAGUCUUCUCUCCUCACUUGAUAGGAGAUGACACAGCAGCCUGGAGAAAUGAAGUGACUUGGUCACUUCAGCUUUGUUUGCGGCAGGCCAUCCACUUUCCAGCUUUCUCCCUUAACUAGGCAUCUUCUUGGCAGCCCAACUACCCGAGCGUCCCUGGUAAGGACCCUCUUCCUUGUGCUCAGCUGUCACAGUGGGUGUUUCAUUGUUGAUCCCCUUCUGGACUUUUUUGGUAUUUUUUUUUCCCUGUUAUUAUGGCAAAUUUUCAAACAUAAGGAUAGUGAAUAUAACAUAAAUAACUCCCAUGUGCCCUCGCCCAGCUUCUACAAUUAUUAACAUAUGGCCAAUCUUCUUUUAUCUACACCUAUCCCCAAAUAGCCCUCCCGCACAGAUGAUUUUAAAGCAAACCCAAACGUCAUGCAAUUUCAUCUAGAAACAUUCCCUGUGUCCCCGUGUAAGAAUUCUCCCACAAGGACAUAUUUAUAACAGAAAUGAAUGAUGAUUCCCUAAUGUCAAAUUUC